This 313-nucleotide RNase P RNA is filed under the name Bifidobacterium longum subsp. longum 44B. RNAcentral's name for it is "Bacterial RNase P class A". It matches the Rfam family "Bacterial RNase P class A", at positions 43 to 347 of the family's 367-position model. Rfam says of the family: Ribonuclease P (RNase P) is a ubiquitous endoribonuclease, found in archaea, bacteria and eukarya as well as chloroplasts and mitochondria. Its best characterised activity is the generation of mature 5'-ends of tRNAs by cleaving the 5'-leader elements of precursor-tRNAs. Cellular RNase Ps are ribonucleoproteins. RNAcentral also lists the same sequence under 1 other name. Lineage: Bacteria; Bacillati; Actinomycetota; Actinomycetes; Bifidobacteriales; Bifidobacteriaceae. The record is from RNAcentral.
GAGGAACUUCCGGGCUCCAUAGAGCACGAUGGCGGAUAACGUCCGCCCAGGGUGACCUGAGAGAUAGCGCAACAGAGAACAGACCGCCCGUCCUCGACGGGUAAGGGUGAAACGGCGGUGUAAGAGACCACCGGGCCUCUGGUAACAGUAGGUCGCAUGGCAAGCCUCAUCGGGAGCAAGGCCAAGCAGAUGGCGGUAAGGGCUGCUCGCCCGUGUCAUCGGGUAGGCUGCUAGAGCCUGGCGGCAACGUCAGGUCGAGAUGGAUGGCCAUCCGUGCCGUGCGUUCGCGCACGGCACGACAGAACCCGGGGUA